AAUCAACGCUGGCGGCGUGCCUAACACAUGCAAGUCGAACGAGAAAGUGGAGCAAUCCAUGAGUAAAGUGGCGCACGGGUGAGUAACACGUGACUAACCUACCCAGGAGUGGGGGAGUAACUGAGGGAAACCGUUAAGCUAAUACCGCAUAACAUCUACGGGUCGAAAGGAAGCAAUUCGCUCCUGGAGGGGGUCGGCGG
This 200-nucleotide ribosomal RNA is filed under the name uncultured bacterium. Its description in RNAcentral is "partial 16S ribosomal RNA". It matches the Rfam family "Bacterial small subunit ribosomal RNA", at positions 32 to 236 of the family's 1533-position model. The record is from RNAcentral.